Small nuclear RNA from Octodon degus (degu), 106 nucleotides. The record is from Ensembl. Lineage: Eukaryota; Metazoa; Chordata; Mammalia; Rodentia; Octodontidae.
AUGCUCAAUUCAGAAGCACAUAUAUUAAAACUGGAAACAUACAGAGAAGAUUAGCAUGUCCCCUGCACAAGAAGACAUGCAAAUUCAUGAAGCAGCCUAUAUUUUU